RNAcentral lists this ribosomal RNA (497 nucleotides) under uncultured bacterium. Its description in RNAcentral is "partial 16S ribosomal RNA". It matches the Rfam family "Bacterial small subunit ribosomal RNA", at positions 28 to 507 of the family's 1533-position model. The record is from RNAcentral.
GAUGAACGCUGGCGGUGUGCCUAAUACAUGCGAGUCGAGCGAACAGACGAGGAGCUUACUCCUCUGACGUUAGCGGCGGACGGGUGAGUAACACGUGGAUAACCUACCUAUAAGACUGGGAUAACUUCGGGAAACCGGAGCUAAUACCGGAUAACAUGUUGAACCGCAUGGUUCAACAGUGAAAGACGGUCUUGCUGUCACUUAUAGAUGGAUCCGCGUCGCAUUAGCUAGUUGGUAAGGUAACGGCUUACCAAGGCAACGAUGCGUAGCCGACGUGAGAGGGUGAUCGGCCACACUAGAACGGAGACACGAUCCAGACUCCUACGGGAGGCAGCAGUAGGGAAUCUUCCGCAAUGGGCGAAAGCCUGACGGAACAACGCCGCGUGAGUGAAGAAAGUCUUCGGAUCGUAAAACUCUGUUAUUAGGGAAGAACAAAUGUGUAAGUAACUAUGCACGUCUUGACGGUACCUAAUCAGAAAGCCACGGCUAACUACGUG